GUUAUUACGAUGUCGUAGGCUCGAGCAAAUAAAAGGAAGCCCGAAGAGGCUAUCCGAUAAAUUCGAGAGCGUCUCUGUCUUUCUGCUUCGUUUCUCAUUUCCGUGGCGCCAAAACUUUCGACGAUGAGCGCCUGCAAAACCCUAACCCGCGCUUCGCUUCGCUCACUCGGUUCCACUCUUCGAAGCCACCAGCAUUCCGUCUGCUCUCUCUCCCUUCGGCCCUUCCACUCUUUCACCUCUCGAGGAUUAGGCUUCAAACCGUUUGGAGUAUCCUCACGACGUUCUGCCUCGAUUGGAGGAGCUGUCUCGCUUGAAGCCGCCGAUUUCACCGAUGAGGAGUCUUGUGGCAGCUCGUCAAAGGACGCGGUGGAGCAGUUGGUUGCGAGCAGAGACGACGUUGCUCGGUUAAUGAAGAUGGAGCGGAGGUCCUUGACCGAUGACUGCGAUGGCGAUGGGCCCGUGCAGCUGAAGCGGUGGUUUCCUUAUUUGGACAGGUUCGAGUGCGGAGGAGGCUCUUAUUUGAGCAGCGGUGAGGUUUUGGAAGCUGUAGAUCCGCUCAUUAUGGAUGCGCGGAAGGAGAGGUUUAGAAAUGUGGUGAAGAAUCGAAGCUAUUCCGUAUGCUUGGUGGUGGAAGGGUUGUGCGAUUUCGGAAAUGUUUCAGCUGCGUUCCGCUCUGCCGAUGCAUUGGGACUCCAGUCAGUUCACGUCGUGUCCUGCGACUCGAAAAGGUACAGAGAUAAUCGACAUGUAAGCAUGGGUGCAGAGAAAUGGUUGGACAUUGAACUUUGGGACUCUACGAGGGAGUGUUUCAGUAGUCUUAAAUCACGUGGAUAUCGCAUUGCCACGACACAUCUAGGAAAGGAUGCAGUAUCUAUUUAUGAUAUGGACUGGUCACACCCAACUGCAAUAGUUGUUGGAAAUGAGAAUAGGGGGAUCAGUGACGAGGCCCUGGAAUUGUCAGAUCUGCAUUGCAGCAUACCUAUGAAAGGCAUGGUGGACUCCUUCAAUGUCUCUGUCGCUGCUGGCAUCCUCAUGCACCAUGCUGUCUGUGACAGAAUUGCGCGUUUGAUUUCUCAGUUACUUUUUGAUUCAAUCAAUUUUGAAGCCACAAAGUAUUAAACCUGGAAUGAAAUCAUCCACUCUGCAACUUCACAUGAUUCUUUGAUCAUGUUUCUGUGCUCAUCAAACUGAAUGGAUUUCUUGCUGUAGGUAAACUAUCAUGUCUCUUUUUUUUUUUUGAUUGAUCAAAUGUAAUAUUACGGAUCCUCAUUACUAAUGAAAUCAACUGAAUGGCUGUCCCACUCCCUGUGGCAUGGGGUGCUCGUCUUUACUGUUCAUCCAAUGGUUUGUUGAGCUGUGAGGGUGAUCCCGAUCAUUGAGAAUUGAGAAUAUAUCGCUGCACUUACUAGUUGCUACACGGAACAUCUGGGGCGUCAUGGUGAUCUGACGAAGGAAGAGAGCCAAAUACUACUAGCGGAGUUCUUCCUGCGACACAGCAAGAGUGCGAUUAGCAUUGCCAAUGAGUACUCAAAGAGGAGUCCGGCCUUGCCACUGCCAAAACUUUGAAUGCGGAAUCUUAAUCUUUGAAUCUCCUCAGGAUAUAUAUACAUAUAUAUAUGUAUGGGAAGAUGACAUGGAAGGUCUCUACAGCCAUUCGUUUGCGCUAAUAUGAUUGGGGGAAGACGAGAACGUGCGUGGAAUGGAUCUGGGCAGAGAAUGCCUGCUUUAAGUUAGCUAGAAAGCUGCGGUUGGCAGCUUUUUGGGUUCUAGUAAUUAUUGUUGCUUUGAGUUUGAGGGUUGCCCGAGUUAUUGUAGUGGAUAAUUAUUUUAUCCCGCAGCUAUUCUUUAUAGCCCAGGUGAUGAUGGGGGGAGUAUGUUUCCUCCUAAA
This is a non-coding RNA of Punica granatum (pomegranate), 1888 nucleotides long. The record is from RefSeq and is a predicted model, not a curated record. NCBI's taxonomy places the organism in Eukaryota, Viridiplantae, Streptophyta, Magnoliopsida, Myrtales, Lythraceae.